This 301-nucleotide ribosomal RNA is filed under the name uncultured bacterium. Its description in RNAcentral is "partial 16S ribosomal RNA". It matches the Rfam family "Bacterial small subunit ribosomal RNA", at positions 509 to 808 of the family's 1533-position model. The record is from RNAcentral.
CAGCCGCCACGGGAAUACGUAGGUGGCGAGCGUUGUCCGGAAUUAUUGGGCGUAAAGGGAGCGCAGGCGGGCGAGUAAGUCUUUCUUAAAAGUGCGGGGCUCAACCCCGUGAGGGGAUGGAAACUGUAUGCCUUGAGUGCAGGAGAGGAAAGCGGAAUUCCCAGUGUAGCGGUGAAAUGCGUAGAUAUUGGGAGGAACACCAGUGGCGAAGGCGGCUUUCUGGACUGUAACUGACGCUGAGGCUCGAAAGCCAGGGGAGCGAACGGGAUUAGAUACCCGAGUAGUCCCUGUCUCUUAUACC